GAUGAACGCUGGCGGCGUGCCUAAUACAUGCAAGUCGAGCGAACAGACGAGGAUCUUGCUCCUCUUACGUUAGCGGCGGACGGGUGAGUAACACGAGUAUAACUUACCUAGAAGACUGAGAUAACUUCGGGAAACCGGAUCUAAUACCGGAUAAUAUAUUGAACCUCAUGGUUCAUUAGUGAAAGACGGUUUUGCUGUCACUAAUAGAUGUUUCCGGGCCGCAUUAGCUAGUUGGUAAGGUAACGGCUUACCAAGGCUACGAUGCGUAGCCGACCUGAGAGGGUGAUCGGCCACACUGGAACUGAGACACGGUCCAGACUCCUACGGGAGGCAGCAGUAGGGAAUCUUCGGCAAUGGGCGAAAGCUUGACGGAGCAAGGCCGCGUGAGUGAUGAAGGUCUUCGGAUCGUAAAACUCUGUUAUGAGGGAAGAACAGAUGUGUAAGUAAAUAUGGACGUCUUGACGGUACCUAAUAAGAAAGCCACGGCUAACUACGUG
This 497-nucleotide ribosomal RNA is filed under the name uncultured bacterium. Its description in RNAcentral is "partial 16S ribosomal RNA". It matches the Rfam family "Bacterial small subunit ribosomal RNA", at positions 28 to 507 of the family's 1533-position model. The record is from RNAcentral.